Aedes albopictus (Asian tiger mosquito) is the source of this 443-nucleotide long non-coding RNA. RefSeq lists it as uncharacterized. The record is from RefSeq and is a predicted model, not a curated record. NCBI's taxonomy places the organism in Eukaryota, Metazoa, Arthropoda, Insecta, Diptera, Culicidae. The transcript is spliced from 3 exons.
GCUUUGGGUAAAAUCAGACAUGUGAUGAUUUUGUUUUGUUUUUCUCUUCGAAAGUAUCCAAAAUACGGUGUUGUUGAAGAACACGAUUUUGGAUGAAAAUUUUAUUCUGCGCCAUGUUGAUUUCAGGUUGGAUAUUCGGUGGUCGUUCUUUCUGCAAAUUUCGAAAGCGUUCGUUACCAAAAACGAGACCAAAAAUGAGCCAAACGAAAAGUACGCUCCAUUUCCUGGAUUUCCUGGUACAUUUCUGGACUUCGAACAUCUUCAAAAAAAAAAUGAAAUGGUCACCUAAUUCUUUCACUUGUUAAUCACAGAACAUUCGUUUGAUUCCCCGUUCGCUUCCGGCGCGUUUUUCGACGAUGAAAGAUCAUCACCAAACGUGAACGCUGCCGUAACCCGGAUCCGGAUGGCGUUUGCAUCAGGCGAUAAAGUUUAUAAAUAAGGUG